CUGCUAGGAGAUUGGUCUUGGUCGCCCAUGGUUGUCACACUACAUUUCCUUUCCGAGUUCAUUGCAAGAAUGAGAGACCUCUAUAUGCUUAACCACUGCUGUACCAGGAAGAACAAAUAAAUCGCCUCUCAACAGAAGUUAAACCAUCGUGUUUCGUCGACAAUGGUGAAUGAUCAAAUUUGAAACCCUAGAACCCAAAAUUUACUCGUGAUGAUAAUUGAGCCUCCCCAAAUUGUUUUAUAUAG
RNAcentral lists this unclassified non-coding RNA (245 nucleotides) under Hevea brasiliensis (rubber tree). Lineage: Eukaryota; Viridiplantae; Streptophyta; Magnoliopsida; Malpighiales; Euphorbiaceae. The record is from RNAcentral.